This 253-nucleotide ribosomal RNA is filed under the name uncultured bacterium. Its description in RNAcentral is "partial 16S ribosomal RNA". It matches the Rfam family "Bacterial small subunit ribosomal RNA", at positions 524 to 776 of the family's 1533-position model. The record is from RNAcentral.
UACGUAGGCAGCGAGCGUUGUUCGGAGUUACUGGGCGUAAAGGGUGUGUAGGCGGUUGUUUAAGUUUGGUGUGAAAUCUCCCGGCUUAACUGGGAGGGUGCGCCGAAGACUGGAAGGCUUGAGUAUGGGAGAGGUAAGCGGAAUUCCUGGUGUAGCGGUGAAAUGCGCAGAUAUCGGGAGGAACACCAAUGGCGAAGGCAGCUUGCUGGGACGGUACUGACGCUGAGGCGCGAAAGCGUGGGGAGCAAACAGG